CAUCCCAUGUGAUGUCCUUUGGUUCCCUAUUUAUAUGGGAUGCUGCACCUAAUUUCUUACUAUAAUUUUGAGUUAAAACUAUAGAGGAGGGAGAUGGUAAUCAUAGGAAAAAUUUUAAAAAAAAUUUGAGAAAAAAGCAAGGGAUAUUUGAGUGGCAAAAUUUGCAAGAAGGGUGGUGAGAUUUUUAGCAAGUGUUGCUAGUGUGCCCUAGGGUUUGGUUUUUCUAUAUGUUGGAGUCAAAAAUUAAAUCUUAGGUUGUACAAUAUCUGAAGAGUAUCUUCUUAGUAUCAUUCUAGUGGCA
This 301-nucleotide long non-coding RNA is filed under the name Elaeis guineensis (African oil palm). RNAcentral's name for it is "long non-coding RNA (EGUI_LNC057458)". The record is from RNAcentral. Lineage: Eukaryota; Viridiplantae; Streptophyta; Magnoliopsida; Arecales; Arecaceae.